CACGUAGGGCGCAAGCGUUGUCCGGAAUUAUUGGGCGUAAAGAGCUCGUAGGCGGUCUGUUGCGUCCGCUGUGAAAACUCGGGGCUUAACCCCGAGCCUGCAGUGGAUACGGGCAGACUAGAGGUAGGUAGGGGAGAAUGGAAUUCCCGGUGUAGCGGUGAAAUGCGCAGAUAUCGGGAGGAACACCGGUGGCGAAGGCGGUUCUCUGGGCCUUACCUGACGCUGAGGCGCGAAAGCUAGGGUAGCAAACAGG
Molecule: ribosomal RNA, 253 nt
Filed under: uncultured bacterium
Lineage: Bacteria
Description: partial 16S ribosomal RNA
Rfam family: Bacterial small subunit ribosomal RNA
Source: RNAcentral